AUUGGAGAUUAGUCUAGGGUAGAAUAGAUUUAUAUUUCCGCAUUAUUUAUUUUUGGACUGUAUAAUUGGACUGGACUUUACAUUCUUGGAUUGUUUUGUUUUGUUUAUUGUUUGAUUAUUUUGCGUGCUUUUGUGUGGUUUAUACAUUUCGUAAUGACAAAAUAGUUGAUACACUCUACCAAGCGACCGUGGUUGAACCACGGGAUCGAGGGGUGCCUAACACCUUCCCCUCGGUCAACAGAAUUCCUUAGC
This 252-nucleotide long non-coding RNA is filed under the name Capsicum annuum. RNAcentral describes it as "long non-coding RNA (CANN_LNC009051)". The record is from RNAcentral. Lineage: Eukaryota; Viridiplantae; Streptophyta; Magnoliopsida; Solanales; Solanaceae.